RNAcentral lists this unclassified non-coding RNA (300 nucleotides) under uncultured fungus. Its description in RNAcentral is "sequence contains 5.8S rRNA gene, ITS2". The stretch from base 1 to 71 matches the Rfam family "5.8S ribosomal RNA", at positions 84 to 154 of the family's 154-position model. Lineage: Eukaryota; Fungi. The record is from RNAcentral.
GUGAAUCAUCGAAUCUUUGAACGCAUAUUGCGCUCGAGCCCUCGGGCAAGAGCAUGUCUGCCUCAGCGUCGGUUUACACCCUCACCCCUCCCUUACUGGGUGUGUUUGCUCUGUUUGCAAGCCAUUGGGGUGGAUCUGGCUUCCCCAAUCAAGCCGUUUAACUGCGGCAGGUUGGGUUGGCUGAAGUGCAGAGGCUUAAGCAAGGACCCGAUAUGGGCUUCAACUGGAUAGGUAGCACCGGCUUCUGCCGACUACACGAAGUUGUUGCUUGAGGAUCUUGCUAGGAGCCAAGCAGGAACG